Molecule: ribosomal RNA, 266 nt
Filed under: uncultured bacterium
Lineage: Bacteria
Description: partial 16S ribosomal RNA
Rfam family: Bacterial small subunit ribosomal RNA
Source: RNAcentral
UGGGGAAUUUUGCGCAAUGGGCGAAAGCCUGACGCAGCGACGCCGCGUGAGGGAUGAAGGUCCUAGGAUUGUAAACCACUGUCAGGAAGCAUUAAAUGCACGGGUAUCAACACCACCCGUGCUUGACUUAACUUCCAGAGGAAGCCCCGGCUAACUACGUGCCAGCAGCCGCGGUAAUACGUAGGGGGCAAGCGUUACUCGGAUUUAUUGGGCGUAAAGAGAAUUAAGGCGGUCAUGUAAGUCAGUGGUGAAAUCCCCCGGCUCAA